Non-coding RNA from Malus domestica (apple), 754 nucleotides. Lineage: Eukaryota; Viridiplantae; Streptophyta; Magnoliopsida; Rosales; Rosaceae. The record is from RefSeq and is a predicted model, not a curated record.
CCCACAUUCCUUCUCAACCCUUGCAGCCCCCAUCCGUAGUCAUCCAUAAUCCAACAACAACACACCUCCGUGAGUACCCAGCCGUGGUGGAAAAUCGGAACAACUGAAACCCAAAGCUGUGUGAGGACCCCCAAUAAUUUCGAAUCCGAGACAACAACACAAGAACAACACCCUGAAUCGCCAUCUCAACUCCACAAAAUCAUGUCGCCCAAGCCUCAAGACAUCAGAAAUUUGAGUACCAUUUUGCACAUGCCACGGUGUCCGAGAUGCACAAAGAGACAGAAGAGACAGAGUCGAAAAGCUUCCAAACUCACGGAUCUGCAAAUGUUGAGCAUACACCCGUGAGAAAACAAGCUUAAGCUGCCGGUCUAAUAGUCCCAGAAAGCAAAAUCAACAGCAACUGUCGCGGCCUCUGUAUGUCAUCUAGGGGUAUACGGAUCCAUGAUAGAGCCAAGGACACAGAAGUAAACACACAAAAGCAACGGAGGAAAACAGCACAGGCCGCAUGACCCAGAUCGAUGCAUCUGGGAGGUAAAAUUCGAAUCCCUGCAAGUGUAGUUGUUGUAGAUCUGGUAAUAAUAUUUGUACUCAGUUCUGUGGUGUAUGGAUCUGUGAUAAUUGUGCUUCCUCCAUGCAUCGCAAAACUGAGCUGCAGAAAUUAACUGCUCUAAAUUCUGUUUAUGUGCUGGAUCUGCAACAAUCACCCCCAAACUUGCAUCUGUGAAUGGCUUUUUAUGUUGACUGCUUUAAAUUU